AUGUUCGAUGAAAUGUCGCAAAGGUAUAAAUUUUCCGGUUGUGCUCUCGAUUGUUGUUUCAAAUUGUAUGUGUUCUUGAUUGUUUGUGCAUCCAAUUGUAGUCUUGAUGAUGAAGCUUUCAUGCAUGCGACAAAUGUGGCAAAUGAUGAUUACAUGUAUGUGUCACAAGAAUAUGAAACCCAAUGUGAUGAUGACAAUCUUGAUGUGGACGAUGAGGGCUUUGUUGUCAAGGGAAGAAGUGGAAAUUAUACCACCGCGGAGGAUGUGUUGAUAUGCACCACUUGGAAGAAAAUCUCUCAAGAUACAAGCGUUGGAAGCGACCAAACGGUGAACACCUAUUGGCAACGCAUGAAGGAGUACUUUGAUGAGCGCAACACAAGUGGUCACUUCCGUUCAAGCGACUCUCUACGCCAAUGUUGGUCCACCAUCAACGCUGAAUGCCAAAAGUGGGCCAGUUGCUUGUGA
This 465-nucleotide ribosomal RNA is filed under the name Triticum aestivum (bread wheat). RNAcentral describes it as "partial small subunit ribosomal RNA". Lineage: Eukaryota; Viridiplantae; Streptophyta; Magnoliopsida; Poales; Poaceae. The record is from RNAcentral.